AUUGAACGCUGGCGGCAUGCCUUACACAUGCCAGUCGAACGGUAACGGGCCUUCGGGUGCCGACGAGUGGCGAACGGGUGAGUAAUACAUCGGAACGUGCCCGAUCGUGGGAGAUAACGAGGCGAAAGCUUUGCUAAUACCGCAUACGAUCUACGGAUGAAAGCAGGGGACCGCAAGGCCUUGCGCGGACGGAGCGGCCGAUGGCAGAUUAGGUAGUUGGUGGGAUAAAAGCUUACCAAGCCGACGAUCUGUAGCUGGUCUGAGAGGAUGAUCAGCCACACUGGGACUGAGACACGGCCCAGACUCCUACGGGAGGCAGCAGUGGGGAAUUUUGGACAAUGGGCGCAAGCCUGAUCCAGCCAUGCCGCGUGCAGGAUGAAGGCCUUCGGGUUGUAAACUGCUUUUGUACGGAACGAAAAGCCUUCUUUUAAUACAGGAGGGUCAUGACGGUACCGUAAGAAUAAGCACCGGCUAACUACGUG
RNAcentral lists this ribosomal RNA (482 nucleotides) under uncultured bacterium. RNAcentral's name for it is "partial 16S ribosomal RNA". It matches the Rfam family "Bacterial small subunit ribosomal RNA", at positions 30 to 507 of the family's 1533-position model. The record is from RNAcentral.